Triticum aestivum (bread wheat) is the source of this 1925-nucleotide long non-coding RNA. RefSeq lists it as uncharacterized. NCBI's taxonomy places the organism in Eukaryota, Viridiplantae, Streptophyta, Magnoliopsida, Poales, Poaceae. The transcript has 3 exons. The record is from RefSeq and is a predicted model, not a curated record.
GAAGUGGAAUCGAAUGCUCCUCCCGUCGAAGCGUCCUUUCUUUAUUGAGGGAACCAGUCAAAACGUCUUUGAUGCGAGUGUGAGGCCGCCCCGUCUCCCGUCCCCCAUAAAUCUCUCCCCAGACGAUACAGACCACGCCGCGACGUACGCAACAGAACACAACCGCUUCUAGGGUUUGCGACCGUCGGUGUGUAGGACUGGUGGCUACGAUGACGAUGGCAGGGCAAGGGCGACCUCAAGAUGAUUGAUCUGGAGGGAAUGGAUGGAGCUUCAUCAUGCAGAAGGGUAUCAACAUCUUCGAGGGCAAGUCGGAGCCACGGUUCUGCUCCGAAGAAAGCAUGAUCGAUCUGGGGGAAUGGAUGAUGCUCUGCAUAACGAUAUAAUCACAUCAGCUAUAUGACGAGUACCACGAGUCCUUUGAGGAGUACAUCCGAGCCGCAGUGAGCGGAUUUGCCACUCUUGCUGAUACGUACAUGAGUGUUGUGUGUUCAGAUUAUCCUCUUUUUUUAUGUGUCGGUGCUUGCACAGAUGGGUUUAUAUUUGUGUGCUUUUGGGGGUUCAGGUGGACCGUGAGGUGGGUUAUUUACUUACUUUACUAGCUGCGAAUGAUUACAUCUCAUCUUACUGUGUACUAACACAUAAUCAGAUCCCAUUAAGUUAUUUUGUUCUUUGACAAUUUGAAACAAACCUUCCUAUUGGAAUUCCUGUAUACUACUGUAUCUUUUAUGCAAUAGGUGCAUCCUGGAUAAUAUCCUUAAUUUACAUUAGUGCAUCAGUGAGUUUGCUUUUUAUCUGACAAUGUGUUUAGGUAAAUUUAUUUAUGCUCCAUCUUUCUCAGACCAAAGAAUGAUAUCAAGAAGCUGGAAAUGUGAAACUGCAUUCUGGAUGCUUUUGGACGAGUCCUGGAUCCAGCCCUGUCUUCAUCAAGCUCUAACUCUGCAGAUAGGGAGGAAGCCGUCUAGGCUGCUUGGUUCUAGGUGAUAAGCUUAUGAGCGGGGACAAGUGAUGAUCUGGUGGACCUGCUUAUGGCACUUCUCCUUGUCUACCUUGACAACUCAUCUGGUCGUCGGUGUCCCAUCUCCUGAGAUGUGCGGGUGUUGAGCCCAGCGACAUGGAUGUAGUCUGAUUUGAGGAUGGCUGUUUUUACUUUUUCUUUAGUAAUUCUGAUGCUGUCUAAAUGAUCAUCCUCUAUUUCAGGUUGAAGGUCUUCAUUGUUGCAUAUUCAAAGUUACAUUGGACACGUAUAAUACAUAGUUCCUGAUGUAAUAAAAUUUUCGUCUGACUUUUCAUCUGUGCUAUUCAGCUAUCCAUUAGUUUCCAUCACAAUAAUGGUGUUUUGUUGUUGAGACAAGCAGGUUAGUGAUUGUUGGCUUUGCUGAAUUGGUAGAUUUUAGUUCAGUUAAAAACUGCCGAACUACUGAAUUGGUGACCUUUCUCUAUAACUCUUUCUUUGUGCGUGGCUUCUUCGUUUCAAUUUCUUUGUAUAAACACCACUGUUACAAUUUGAUGAAAGCAACACUUUUGUAUGUACAUCCUUUAAUAGAUAUGUUUUCCCAAGAAAAGGCGAGAUGUUUUAAUUCACUGGUAAGUUACUAUUUUCUUUAAACGGUUUAUUUCUCCUCAUUAGAACUUUUAGCAAAAAAUAUUCCGCAGCAACGCGCGGGGAAUCAUCUAGUUUAGGAUAAUAAUUGGAGAGGUAUUUUAUAGCUUUGAGGAUAAUGGAUUGCAUUGAGAGAACAUUGUCAAACAUGAAUAAUUCAAUGCAUCCAGAGUGAAUUAUGAUAAAAUAUCUCAUGCAAAACAGAUUCUCGAGAGAUAAAUAUAGCAUGGGUUUAUUAACGUUACAACACCAAGAUUCACAAGCAUUUCAGAGUGAAAUCUCAUGAUAUUCCACCUGCCAAACAGAUAUACCAACGAUAACAUUG